This 568-nucleotide ribosomal RNA is filed under the name Bipolaris oryzae. RNAcentral's name for it is "eukaryotic LSU rRNA". The stretch from base 194 to 347 matches the Rfam family "5.8S ribosomal RNA". Lineage: Eukaryota; Fungi; Ascomycota; Dothideomycetes; Pleosporales; Pleosporaceae. The record is from RNAcentral.
ACCUGCGGAGGGAUCAUUACACAACAAAAUAUGAAGGCCUGGCUUUCGCGGCCGGCUGAAGUAUUUUUUUCACCCAUGUCUUUUGCGCACUUGUUGUUUCCUGGGCGGGUUCGCCCGCCACCAGGACCAAACCAUAAACCUUUUUUUCUUAUGCAGUUUCCAUCAGCGUCAGUAAAAACAAUGUAAUUAUUACAACUUUCAACAACGGAUCUCUUGGUUCUGGCAUCGAUGAAGAACGCAGCGAAAUGCGAUACGUAGUGUGAAUUGCAGAAUUCAGUGAAUCAUCGAAUCUUUGAACGCACAUUGCGCCCUUUGGUAUUCCAAAGGGCAUGCCUGUUCGAGCGUCAUUUGUACCUUCAAGCUUUGCUUGGUGUUGGGCGUUUUUUUGUCUCCCUCUUUCUGGGAGACUCGCCUUAAAACGAUUGGCAGCCGGCCUACUGGUUUCGGAGCGCAGCACAUUUUUUGCGCUUUGUAUCAGGAGAAAAGGACGGUACUCCAUCAAGACUCUACAUUUUUCACUUUUGACCUCGGAUCAGGUAGGGAUACCCGCUGAACUUAAGCAUAUCAA